This 379-nucleotide long non-coding RNA is filed under the name Cyanistes caeruleus (blue tit). RNAcentral describes it as "lncRNA (ENSCCEG00000013753.1)". The record is from RNAcentral. Lineage: Eukaryota; Metazoa; Chordata; Aves; Passeriformes; Paridae.
CUCAGAUGAGGAAAAUCUGCCUGGAAAACACAGAGACCACAUAAUAGAGCAGUGUACAGCUCAACAAGCAGGAGGGUUGGCCAAUACAACAGAAGGUUUGGAUAACCUGUCUUCUGGUGCCAAGUAAAACCUCCAUUGAAUUUUGUACUGCUACCAUACCAUAGCACCAACUAUGCCAACUAGCACCGACAGGCAAUGGAAAAGGAGCCCAGAAAACAAUUUGUUUAUUAUAAGCAGGUCAGUCCUCGAGGGGACUCAUGGAAUCACGCAGUGGGAGAGGACAAUCAUGGCACUGAAAUGGUGGGUAAUUUUAUUUGUUCCACUUGAUGGUCACAGUGGCAUCAUGCUGGCCAAUUACUCUUGAGUCAGCAGGUUUCAG